RNAcentral lists this ribosomal RNA (461 nucleotides) under uncultured bacterium. RNAcentral describes it as "bacterial LSU rRNA". It matches the Rfam family "Bacterial large subunit ribosomal RNA", at positions 194 to 699 of the family's 2925-position model. The record is from RNAcentral.
UGAAACAUCUCAGUACCUGGAGGAAAAGACAUCAACAGAGAUUCCGCGAGUAGUGGCGAGCGAAAGCGGAGCAGGCCAGUGGUUGUUGGAAGAGAAGGCGAGGGAUCUGGAAAGGUCCGCCGUAGAGGGUGAGAGCCCCGUAGCCGUAGCGCUUCUGAUGAUCCUUGAGUAGGGCGGGGCACGUGAAACCCUGUCUGAACAUGGGGGGACCACCCUCCAAGCCUAAAUACUCCCUGGCGACCGAUAGUGCACAAGUACCGUGAGGGAAAGGUGAAAAGCACCCCGACGAGGGGAGUGAAAGAGACCUGAAACCGAACGCCUACAAGCAGUCGGAGCCCUGACCACGCGAGUGGUGGGUGACGGCGUACCUUUUGUAUAAUGGGUCCGCGAGUUCGUGUUCGUGGCGAGCUUAAGCCGUGAGGCGGAGGCGCAGCGAAAGCGAGUCCUAAAUGGGCGCAUAG